GCCCGGAUGGUCUAGUGGUAAGCAAUCCCCAACAACAAUCCCUGCUCUUCUGAUGCUAACUCCCAAGAAAGGUAUGAUUCUCGCUUUGGGAUAAAAAAAUGCGAGAGGUCCCCGGAUCAAACCCGGGUUCGGGCC
This is a non-coding RNA of Aspergillus sclerotiicarbonarius CBS 121057, 135 nucleotides long. The record is from the annotation of a GenBank genome assembly. NCBI's taxonomy places the organism in Eukaryota, Fungi, Ascomycota, Eurotiomycetes, Eurotiales, Aspergillaceae.